This 148-nucleotide signal recognition particle RNA is filed under the name Pan paniscus (pygmy chimpanzee). RNAcentral's name for it is "Metazoan signal recognition particle RNA". It matches the Rfam family "Metazoan signal recognition particle RNA". From Rfam's summary of the family: The signal recognition particle (SRP) is a universally conserved ribonucleoprotein. It is involved in the co-translational targeting of proteins to membranes. RNAcentral also lists the same sequence under 1 other name. Lineage: Eukaryota; Metazoa; Chordata; Mammalia; Primates; Hominidae. The record is from Rfam by way of RNAcentral.
GCCAGGUGUGGUGGUGCACACCUGUAGUCCCAGUUACUUGGGAGGCUAAGGCAGGGGGAUCACUUGAGCCCAGGAACUUGAGGCUGCAGUGAGCUAUGACUGCGCCACUGCACUCCAGCCUGGGCAACAGAGUGAGACCCUAUCUCAA